RNAcentral lists this small nuclear RNA (76 nucleotides) under Notamacropus eugenii (tammar wallaby). Lineage: Eukaryota; Metazoa; Chordata; Mammalia; Diprotodontia; Macropodidae. The record is from RNAcentral.
GGACAUGAUACAGAGAAGAUUAGCAUGGCCCCCGUGCAAGGAUGACAUGAAAAUUUGUGUAGUGUUGAAUAUUUUA